Small nuclear RNA from Otolemur garnettii (small-eared galago), 134 nucleotides. Its record names the gene U4. It matches the Rfam family "U4 spliceosomal RNA". Rfam says of the family: U4 small nuclear RNA (U4 snRNA) is a component of the major U2-dependent spliceosome. The structure of U4 snRNA from yeast and human has been reported. U4 snRNA presents a k-turn RNA motif in the 5p-SL related to recognition of Snu13 protein. Lineage: Eukaryota; Metazoa; Chordata; Mammalia; Primates; Galagidae. The record is from Ensembl.
UGCUUUGCACGGUGGCAGUGCUAUAGCCAGUGAGGUUUAUCCCAGGAGCGAUCAUUGCUAAUUGAAAACUUUCCCUGAUACCUCGCCAUGACAACUUGAAAUAUACUGGCGAUCUUUAACGGUCUCUGUGGAAA